RNAcentral lists this ribosomal RNA (72 nucleotides) under uncultured bacterium. RNAcentral's name for it is "partial 16S ribosomal RNA". The record is from RNAcentral.
UGAGCAAUCUGCCCUUCUCAUCGGAAUAAGCGUUGGAAACGACGUCUAAUGCCGAAUACGACCUCCUUUCGC